GUGAUGAAUAUUGGUCAAUGGGCGGGAGCCUGAACCAGCCAAGUCGCGUGAAGGAAGAAGGAUCUAUGGUUCGUAAACUUCUUUUGCAGGGGAAUAAAGUGCAGGACGUGUCCUGUUUUGUAUGUACCCUGAGAAUAAGGAUCGGCUAACUCCGUGCCAGCAGCCGCGGUAAUACGGAGGAUCCGAGCGUUAUCCGGAUUUAUUGGGUUUAAAGGGUGCGUAGGUGGUUUGAUAAGUCAGCGGUGAAAGUUUGCAGCUUAACUGUAAAAAUGCCGUUGAAACUGUCGGACUUGAGUGUAAAUGAGGUAGGCGGAAUGCGUGGUGUAGCGGUGAAAUGCAUAGAUAUCACGCAGAACUCCGAUUGCGAAGGCAGCUUACUAAGCUACAACUGACACUGAAGCACGAAAGCGUGGGGAUCAAACAGGAUUAGAAACCCGAGUAGUCC
This 445-nucleotide ribosomal RNA is filed under the name uncultured bacterium. RNAcentral describes it as "partial 16S ribosomal RNA". It matches the Rfam family "Bacterial small subunit ribosomal RNA", at positions 354 to 796 of the family's 1533-position model. The record is from RNAcentral.